Molecule: non-coding RNA, 198 nt
Organism: Rattus norvegicus (Norway rat)
Lineage: Eukaryota; Metazoa; Chordata; Mammalia; Rodentia; Muridae
Source: RefSeq, a predicted model, not a curated record
CAGGUAUCUUCAUGGUUCUGCUGCAGAAACUUCAGAAGAAAUGAGUUACCCAGUGAAGAAAUAUAUUGGCUAGUCUUCUGUUUGCUUUGGAACAAGAUACAGAUCUCUCAGCUCUUCCAGUUCCGUGCUUUCUGCCUUGAUAAUGGGCCAAACCUCUAAACCUAUAGGCGACUUCCAAUAAACCAUUGUUCUUUAUAA